RNAcentral lists this ribosomal RNA (465 nucleotides) under uncultured Comamonadaceae bacterium. RNAcentral's name for it is "partial 16S ribosomal RNA". Lineage: Bacteria; Pseudomonadati; Pseudomonadota; Betaproteobacteria; Burkholderiales; Comamonadaceae. The record is from RNAcentral.
GACUACCCGGGUAUCUAAUCCUGUUUGCUCCCCACGCUUUCGUGCAUGAGCGUCAGUGCAGGCCCAGGGGAUUGCCUUCGCCAUCGGUGUUCCUCCGCAUAUCUACGCAUUUCACUGCUACACGCGGAAUUCCAUCCCCCUCUGCCGCACUCCAGCCUUGCAGUCACAAAGGCAGUUCCCAGGUUGAGCCCGGGGAUUUCACCUCUGUCUUACAAAACCGCCUGCGCACGCUUUACGCCCAGUAAUUCCGAUUAACGCUUGCACCCUACGUAUUACCGCGGCUGCUGGCACGUAGUUAGCCGGUGCUUAUUCUUACAGUACCGUCAUGGACUCUCUGUAUUAGAAAGAGCUUUUUCGUUCUGUACAAAAGCAGUUUACAACCCGAGGGCCUUCAUCCUGCACGCGGAAUGGCUGGAUCAGGCUUUCGCCCAUUGUCCAAAAUUCCCCACUGCAGCCCCCCGUAGG